This 77-nucleotide transfer RNA is filed under the name Peptostreptococcaceae bacterium oral taxon 113 str. W5053. Its description in RNAcentral is "tRNA-Pro". It matches the Rfam family "tRNA". From Rfam's summary of the family: Transfer RNA (tRNA) molecules are approximately 80 nucleotides in length. Their secondary structure includes four short double-helical elements and three loops (D, anti-codon, and T loops). Further hydrogen bonds mediate the characteristic L-shaped molecular structure. tRNAs have two regions of fundamental functional importance: the anti-codon, which is responsible for specific mRNA codon recognition, and the 3' end, to which the tRNAs corresponding amino acid is attached (by aminoacyl-tRNA synthetases). tRNAs cope with the degeneracy of the genetic code in two manners: having more than one tRNA (with a specific anti-codon) for a particular amino acid; and 'wobble' base-pairing, i.e. permitting non-standard base-pairing at the 3rd anti-codon position. RNAcentral also lists the same sequence under 1 other name. Lineage: Bacteria; Bacillati; Bacillota; Clostridia; Peptostreptococcales; Peptostreptococcaceae. The record is from RNAcentral.
CGGGAUGUAGCGCAGCUCGGUAGCGCGUUCCGUUCGGGACGGAGAGGUCGCAGGUUCAAAUCCUGUCAUCCCGACCA